GGGGAUGUGGCUCAGUGGUAGAGCGCUUGCCUAGCAUGCAUGGAGCCUUGGGUUCCAUUCCUCAGUACCA
Non-coding RNA from Dipodomys ordii (Ord's kangaroo rat), 70 nucleotides. The record is from Rfam. Lineage: Eukaryota; Metazoa; Chordata; Mammalia; Rodentia; Heteromyidae.